AUUGAACGCUGGCGGCAUGCUUUACACAUGCAAGUCGAACGGUAACAGGUUAAGCUGACGAGUGGCGAACGGGUGAGUAAUGCAUCGGAACGUGCCCGAUCGUGGGGGAUAACGCAGCGAAAGCUGCGCUAAUACCGCAUACGAUCUGAGGAUGAAAGCGGGGGACCGUAAGGCCUCGCGCGAUCGGAGCGGCCGAUGUCAGAUUAGGUAGUUGGUGGGGUAAAGGCUCACCAAGCCAACGAUCUGUAGCUGGUCUGAGAGGACGACCAGCCACACUGGGACUGAGACACGGCCCAGACUCCUACGGGAGGCAGCAGUGGGGAAUUUUGGACAAUGGGCGAAAGCCUGAUCCAGCAAUGCCGCGUGCAGGAAGAAGGCCUUCGGGUUGUAAACUGCUUUUGUACGGAGCGAAAAGGUCUCCUCUAAUACAGGGGGCUCAUGACGGUACCGUAAGAAUAAGCACCGGCUAACUACGUGCCAGCCGCCGCCGUAA
Molecule: ribosomal RNA, 493 nt
Filed under: uncultured bacterium
Lineage: Bacteria
Description: partial 16S ribosomal RNA
Rfam family: Bacterial small subunit ribosomal RNA
Source: RNAcentral